RNAcentral lists this ribosomal RNA (406 nucleotides) under uncultured bacterium. Its description in RNAcentral is "partial 16S ribosomal RNA". It matches the Rfam family "Bacterial small subunit ribosomal RNA", at positions 30 to 526 of the family's 1533-position model. The record is from RNAcentral.
AUUGAACGCUGGCGGCAGGCCUAACACAUGCAAGUCGAACGAGUGGCGGACGGGUGAGUAAUGUCUGGGAAACUGCCCGAUGGCGGGGGAUAACUAAUGGAAACGGUAGCUAAUACCGCAUACCAUCGGAUGUGCCCAGAUGGGAAUAGCUAGUAGGUGGGGUAACAGCUCACCUAGGCGACGAUCCCUAGCUGGUCUGAGAGGAUGCCAAGCCACAAGGUAACUGAGACAAGGUCCAGACUCCUACGGGAGGCAGCAGUGGGGAAUAUUGAACAAGGGGCGCAAGCCUGAUGCAGCCAUGCCGCGUCUAUGAAGAAGGCCUUCGGGUUGUAAAGGACUAUCCGCGUGGAGGCGUUACUCGCAGAAGAAGCACCGGCUAACUCCGUGCCAGCAGCCGCGGUAAUAC